GGAUGUGAGGGUGAUCUGGCUGUGACAUCUGUCAUCCCAUCGAUGCCAGGGUUGAUUCUGUUGAUCUGGCUGGCUAGGUGGGUGUCCCCUUCCUCCAUCACUGCUCCACGUGUGUUCCCCCUGAAGCUGUGGGCUAGGUCAAAGAGGGCCACCUUCCCUGAAUAGAGGACUGGUCCUCCCUCAAGGGUAUAUGAGUAUGUGUGCUCCCCUGCUAAAACCUCCAAAUAAGCUCUCAAGAAAGGGCUGUACACAUAUGAAAUAAACUUUUUAAAAACUAUUUUUUU
RNAcentral lists this small nuclear RNA (284 nucleotides) under Jaculus jaculus (lesser Egyptian jerboa). RNAcentral's name for it is "7SK RNA (ENSJJAG00000003572.1)". It matches the Rfam family "7SK RNA". From Rfam's summary of the family: 7SK was discovered as an abundant small nuclear RNA in the mid-70s but a possible function has only recently been suggested. Two independent studies have found that 7SK RNA binds the CDK9/cyclin T complex (known as elongation factor P-TEFb). The record is from RNAcentral. Lineage: Eukaryota; Metazoa; Chordata; Mammalia; Rodentia; Dipodidae.